Molecule: long non-coding RNA, 2961 nt
Organism: Cyprinus carpio carpio
Lineage: Eukaryota; Metazoa; Chordata; Actinopteri; Cypriniformes; Cyprinidae
Source: Ensembl
AUAAAAAUGCCUAAAAAUAUUUUUAUGUGAAGUAUAUAGCAUGUCAUAACUCAAGACAUCAAUUUUAUAAAAGUAUUUAAUGUUAACUGUAACAAACUGUACUUAUAGUUAUAGUACAGAUUAUCUGUUUUAAAAAUAAAUACAAUAAAUAAAACCUCUCUGUCACUGCACUAAUUUAGAAUGUUUUCUGCUGUACAGAAUCAUGGCAAAUGCAGUGACAGAAAACAGUCUAGCCCCUUCAGACUCUGCGUUCAUUGAAAUGGACAUCACACGAUCUCUUGAUUAAACCAAUACAAUUAUACAAGAGCAAAUAUCAAGUGGAUAAAUUAUUAUUAUUAUUUUUUUAAUUCAGGUCUGAAGGGGCUAGUAGAAGAUUAUCAUUUGGUACUGAAUUUGUAUUAUAGAUGCAAAAUAUUGGAGUACCAUUGUAAAAAUGCACCAGGACCAAACCCAAUUUAUUUGCAGUCAUUCGCUGUUCUGUUAUUGUUGCAUCAGCAGCCAAUCUAUAUCAGUACCAUGUUCAAAUACAUCUCAUUCUGUUUGAACGAAAUGAACUAAAUGAUUUAGGUGAAGCUGUGUUUUACAAAUCUGGAACCCUUCAUAUUACACACCACCAAAAAUAAAGAAAAUGUUGAAUGUUUGUGAGGGAAACUUUGACACUCUAUAGUUCAACGGUGAUCCAUUCUGUUGAUGGAGGGUAAAGAUUAUCAUUGCUAUGAGGACCAUCAUCAGGUUACUGAAAAUGAGAAGGUGGAAAAGUAAGACUUGGGGGAGGCCGGGGGGUGGUUCCCUCCUCCUUUCGCUUGCGGGAGCUUGAACUCUUUUAAGUCGGCCACCACACCAUGGCUAAUGGCCCCCGCUGAGCCUGCUGUCUCACUCCCGGCAUCAAGCCCAUCGUCCCUAAAUCAAACCAUAGAAAAUUGGGCUUAAAAUAUUGGGGAGAGGCCCCCCAAAAGAGACCCAAAAGCUGCAUCUGUCGCCGGCUUACAUGAAAGUUGAGCUCAUGAGGAGCAGUGGUCAUAUCAGUCCUCAUUCGCAGUAGAUCUAAGAUGAAAAAGGUUGAGGCUUGUUCCUCUUUAGCUUUGCUUGUACAAUGUUUCAUAGAGCAGGAUCUUGUGGACUGUUGGAGAAAUAGGCGCUGUUCGAUACAUUUUCUGAUGGAUGUGACAUGCUAGUGGUCUUGAGCGAGCUAAGAAAGCAUUAUUGUGACAGCCAGGAUGUCAGUUCAGGACCUUUGGAGAAGUCGGGGUCAUGGUAAACAAUCAUGCCAGCACACAAGUGGGUUUUAGCGUGCCCCUUUCAUUCACGUCCAGAGAAAAGUGCCCCUCCCCUCAGCACACAGCUUCAAUUCCUCCGGCUUCCCGAGGGAAAAUACUGCCUUUCUCUAAAUAAACCCACUAUAUAUCUCUCUCUUUCACCCUCUCUCUCUCAUACAAACAUACACACACUCCAGUAGGAGUGCAAAGCUUUGCAGGAUGUGACCUCGGCUCUCCUUUAGGUAAACCGGCACUCCUGGCUAUGCGCAAGACCUGUGACUUCUUUUCUCAGCUUGAUCCUACUGGGAGAAGGCAGGAGAUGCAUAUGUAAUCCUGAUGUGUGCGUAUGUGUGAAAAAGAAAGAGUGAGGGAGUACUUUUUUUUUCUUGGACCUUAUUUAUUAAAUGCUGAUUUUACUAUGUAAAGGAGCAAAGUGCAUAUAGCUGAAGCUCUUUUUCUUUUUUAAUAUGUAUUAACAGAAUGUUAUGUAUUAUGUAUGUAUAAUGUAUUAACAGCUGGAGCAAGGGCUACAUAUGAUUCAAGCUGGGUUAUAAACAAUAAUAACUAAUUUAUGAUAUGUAUGUAUCAACAGCCUCUUUUAUCAUGCUUACAUCAUGUGGAACCAGGAUAAAGGAAGACUUUAUUUUGUGAAGAAGUGAAUAUUAUAAUCACAAUAUACAUUCAGUGUAUGAUGAAUUAUGUUGAAUUAAUAUAAAAUAAUAUAAUAUAUACAAAUUUUAUACAAUAUAUCAGUUGUGACUAUGAUAAUAAAGUAAAAACAAACAGUGCUUCUGUGAAUGCAAAAAUGUUUAUUGUUAGUUCGGUAUGAACAAAUUACCAUCAUAUCUUACUUUAUUGAAGAAAAAAUGGAAACAAUGCACUGAAAUAUUGCUCAUGCAUUAUUUUCAAUUUAUAGAGAGAGAGAGAGAGAGAGAGGAAACAUAAAUAUAUUCUACUAUUAAUUAUGGGUACAGCAGAUAAUUUCAAUUUAAUGUUUUUGUAUUAGGUUUAUUUAUUUUUAUUUAGCCUAUUUUUUAUUUAAUCAAUAAAUAUACCAUAUUUAAUCGCAAGCUUUAAAUAGAUAUUUAAAAAGGCUAAGAAAAGAAGUUAACAUUCAAUUUUUGUUGCAUAGGAAUAAAAACAUAAUUGGACUGCAAUUAAUAAACAUUGUAAAAUGUAAAAUGCAUUAAAAAUACAAUUCAUGGUAUUAAAUGAAGAUUUUAUGUCGAUGGGGGUCAAUGUUUAUUUAAUAUGGAUUUUUUUUUUUUAAAUACGAAUAUUGAAUGACGUGAACAAGAGUUGAAUUCUAGCAUUUAUUCAGACAUGUUAUUUUGACUCCAGCUGACAUGCAAAUAUUGUGCUAAUACGAGAUGUUUUAUUUACCUCAGGUUUGUUUAUAUCAGCUUUGUUUACCUGUUCUGCUUUUAAUGACACUAAAGAAAAACCAUUAGGUCAGUACUGGACUUUAGGAGUCAUCUCUUAAACCAACAAAUCUUAAUGCGUUCAUACAUAGUAGCCUAUAGUUGUCAGUUGUAAGAAUUUUAAUUGUGACAUUUACUAUCCUCAGUAAGACUUUGAGAAGCGGAUGGAACACAGACAAACAAGGGUCAGUCAAUUACCAUUUUUUUGUCAUAAGGUAUACAAAAUACCACAAUGCCUUAAAAAUAUUUUAUUGUUAUAAUUAAAGAUGAUUUAUUAAACCAUA